UCUGCAGUUUGCGAAAUCUGUAAUUUGCGAAAUCUGCAGUUUGCGAAAUCUGUAAUUUGCGAAAUAUCUGUAGUUUAGGGUAAAUAAAAAAUGUUCACAUGUUCCGAGGGCGAGGCGUCAAAAGUACAAUUAAAUUCUGUGCAAGCCACCUAAUUAAUUAAGAACCUACCUGACUACACGAAGUCAUAAUUGCGAUAAAACGUUAUCACAAUAAAUUGCUUUACUUGUAUUAGUUAUAUUUCAGUGGCAGUGUCAAAUAAACUUCUUUAUAUAAUUAUAUGUCUGAGACUGCAAAAUGUAAAAGUUUAAGAUUGAAAAUACACCAUUGCCAGCAAAUUGAUUGGAAAUUUUGCCCUGACUAUGGGAUUUUCCCGGAAAUUCUUCAGAUGGUCAAGUGGAUCGCAGCCGCGAGGUUUGACAUAAAAAUGUUGGUGAUCGCAUCGAAAACUUUCGAAAAGGUA
This is a non-coding RNA of Paramuricea clavata, 461 nucleotides long. The record is from the annotation of a GenBank genome assembly. NCBI's taxonomy places the organism in Eukaryota, Metazoa, Cnidaria, Anthozoa, Malacalcyonacea, Plexauridae.